Molecule: transfer RNA, 65 nt
Filed under: marine eukaryotic metagenome
Rfam family: tRNA
About the family: Transfer RNA (tRNA) molecules are approximately 80 nucleotides in length.
Source: RNAcentral
GUUGUAGCUCAAUUGGUAGAGCGUCGGACUGUGGAUCCGGAUGUUGCGGGUUCGAUCCCCGCCAG